This 64-nucleotide transfer RNA is filed under the name Pseudoglomeris magnifica. RNAcentral's name for it is "tRNA-Pro". Lineage: Eukaryota; Metazoa; Arthropoda; Insecta; Blattodea; Blaberidae. The record is from RNAcentral.
CAGAAAAUAGUUUAUAUAAAAUGUUAAUUUUGGGAAUUAGUGAAAAAGCGUAAUUUUUUUCUGA